CAGGGAAUCUUGCGCAAUGGGCGAAAGCCUGACGCAGCGACGCCGCGUGGGGGAAGAAGGCCUUCGGGUUGUAAACUCCUUUUCUGGGGGAAGAAAACAGACGGUACCUCAGGAAUAAGCCCCGGCUAACUACGUGCCAGCAGCCGCGGUAACACGUAGGGGGCGAGCGUUGUCCGGAUUUACUGGGCGUAAAGGGCGUGUAGGCGGUUAGGGUAGUCCUUGGUGAAAUCUCCCAGCUCAACUGGGAGAGGUAUGAGGAUACUCCCUGACUUGAGGGCAGUAGAGGAGAGCGGAAUUCCCGGUGGAGUGGUGAAAUGCGUAGAUAUCGGGAGGAACACCCGUGGCGAAAGCGGCUCUCUGGGCUGUACCUGACGCUGAGGCGCGAAAGCGUGGGGAGCGAACCGG
Molecule: ribosomal RNA, 405 nt
Filed under: uncultured bacterium
Lineage: Bacteria
Description: bacterial SSU rRNA
Rfam family: Bacterial small subunit ribosomal RNA
Source: RNAcentral